GGUUUUGAGUCAUUCGUGAAAUUGUGGUGGCGGUGGUGGGCGCGAAGGGGGUUGGGUUUAGCCACGAGGGGAAACCUCUCUUAUAGCUUCCUCGUGUAAAUACAGAACUCUAAAUGCCGUCACAUUUCCCCAUGCACACAAGCCCUCUCUUCGGCAGCCGUCCAUUGCGUUUCCGUUUCUAUACAUUGACGUGUGUGUACGUUCUUAAUGCCUACUCAUUGUAUAUACAGCGUAUUCAAAGGCACAUGUAUACACAUUCAUUGAAGCACGCGCAUGGUUGUUACUAUAUGUGUUCAACGAUGAUAUAUUAACUUGUAUACGUGUGCUAUGUGUCUCUGUGAGCAUAUUUACAUCCUAUUGUACGGGUACAAUUGACAGAACACUGCGUUGAGCAUCAAACGCGACUGCCACGUGUUUUCACGUGUGAGGCUGGGCAGUUCUGGCUCACACCUCCUGCUGGGCAAGUGGAAGGCUCUUCUGCCUGUCAAAGACCCAGGGCUAAGGGGUUGCUCCUCUCAUCUCAUUGGCUGGCUCACACUGACUGGGAUGUCACCAGGACAUAACCGUGUUUAAUUAAUCAAAAGCAAACGUCUGUAGCCUCCCAACCACACCAGUGACAGCCCCUUCAGUCGGAGGCCAAUCUUGGAUUUAUAGCGUGCACAUGCAACACAUUCACCCGCGUUCGCUACCCAGGCAGUCCAAGCGAGUGAGGAGGGAUGGGGGUUGCACUGAAUGGAUUUUGCCACCCCCUUAAAAGCAGAGAAGUGGAAGAUUCUGGUCAUGUGACAGCAGAGUAGAUAAAAGGGGCAGACGGAAGAAACUGGAGCACUUGAAAUGUCUCAAGCCCGAGGUGGAGCGGCUUAUUGCAGGCGAACCAGCGAGGCUGCACUCGAUAUUUUGGGAUUUACUAUCCCAUGGACAUCUGAAGAGUCAUCCAGAACGGGAUUACACAAGUAAUGACAUCGUGCAAAGCACACCUUGGAAUAUUAGUGAAGGCAAAGGCUCACCGCUGCACUUGCCUCCACUCGAGAGAGCUCUCCAAAGAGCUCAGGAGGGUAUUUUGGCCCACUCGUCUUCGCUGGCCAAACAUCUUGGAAGAGGUCAAAAGUCAAGUCUGUGCCGGCAUGCCCAAACGAGUGUUGGGAGCCAUUCAUCUCCACUGGUGAUCAUGCUGCCAGUUGUGGAACUUCCACGUUCACAUGGCAGAGGCUAUAACGUCACGUCUAUUCUCUUGUUUGACCGCAAAUAAGGAAGAUGGACUGAGUUGGGCCUCAACUGGGAUUUCAUCUCGCAAUCUUACAGUGUCAUGAGUCAAGACCUCUUCACUACAGUGCCCCUCAGACACAUGCGUACACGUUGUGUGCAUGUGUAUGAAUAAGCGUACACUGCAAGCACUUCUUUUAAGUGUGCACACAUAUGAAAUCCAAGGCAGAUGAGACGGUGGUGACUCAACGGCAGCAUAUUGGUGCAGGCUGUGGCAUUAAUAUUGAUCAUACUUUAAUAAUAAUGCCGCUUUAAAGUGUUUAGUCAAGAUAAGCACUUUAGAUAGAACGUCUAAAUUUCUCAUAUGCCUCCAGUGUAAUUACUGUAUACAUUAUGAGCAUAACUGUCAGCAGGGUAUUAAUUUCACACAUGCCUAGGCAACAGCAGGAGACACUCCAAGCCUGCCAGUAAGCCAGGCAGUGAUGAUAAAUACACCAAUCCACUGGCCUUCCAACGGCAGGACCACAAACUAAAAUAGAGAAAUCUGGCACCCAAGAUAUUGAGAGAAAAUCUUUUUUGUUCGGGGGAUUUGACUGUACACAGAAAAUAAAUGUGUGAUUUUGGGAACAGGUUGGGGCACACCAUCAAUUUUUUAAAAUCUAAAAAGCGAGACGUUUUGACAGAAACAGUGAGGCCUUGGCCGUCAUCAGCCUGACAUUUCCCCACCGUUGUGAAAUGAGUAAUCAGGUGCAGAACCACUUCGGAGAGAGGGAUGAACGAGAUGGAUAACUCUGUGUGCCAUGCACCUCGAUGUGCAGUCCCACCCAGGGCUCCUCGGCAUUCUCGGAAACGAAAUGGUUGUGAUGAAAAAAUGUGCACCUGGAAACCCGCAAAUGCACACACAAAGGGGUGCACACGUUAGAUGUGCGCACUUGCACCCACAAGCACAUGUUUUUACACACGUGUGUUAAAUGUGCUGGUAUGAGGCAUGAUGCAAAAUUUUUUUACUCUAAAAAAUAAUUAUUUAAUCAGCACGAGACUAACAGAACAUCAGAGAAAUAUUAAAUACUCCCAAAUACAACUGUCAGCAGUAGCAGAACACGCGUGCCAACAAGGACACUCAAUUGAUUUUGAUAAUCUUGAAGUUCCGUACAAAACUAGCUACCACUGGCCAAGACUAAUUAGAAAAUCGAUCGAAAUUGAAAGAAUUUAGUUUGCAACCGUUCGGAUAGCUACCGAUUUCGUGCUGCGUGGAAGCGAAUCAUCAAAUAAUACAUUGUUUAAAUACAUGCCUACACAGGGUUUACCGUUGGUACGGCUAUUGUAAUACACAAUGGGCAGGAAGAACAAGAUCAAAGGACUCGUAUCAUGCACAUGCAUAAUGUACGUUGCCUCAGUAAUCCCCCACCCCCCACUUUGCGCAAAAGUGCAGAAGGGUGGUCACCACAUCUACGCCUCUAUAUA
Molecule: non-coding RNA, 2667 nt
Organism: Petromyzon marinus (sea lamprey)
Lineage: Eukaryota; Metazoa; Chordata; Hyperoartia; Petromyzontiformes; Petromyzontidae
Source: RefSeq, a predicted model, not a curated record